GACGAACGCUGGCGGCGUGCUUAACACAUGCAAGUCGAACGCUGAAGCUCAGCUUUUGUUGGGUGGAUGAGUGGCGAACGGGUGAGUAACACGUGAGUAACCUGCCCCCUUCUUUGGGAUAACGCCCGGAAACGAGUGCUAAUACUGGAUAUUCACUGGUCCUCGCAUGGGGGUUGGUGGAAAGGGUUUUUCUGGUGGGGGAUGGGCUCGCGGCCUAUCAGCUUGUUGGUGGGGUGAUGGCCUACCAAGGCUUUGACGGGUAGCCGGCCUGAGAGGGUGACCGGUCACAUUGGGACUGAGAUACGGCCCAGACUCCUACGGGAGGCAGCAGUGGGGAAUAUUGCACAAUGGGCGCAAGCCUGAUGCAGCGACGCCGCGUGAGGGAUGGAGGCCUUCGGGUUGUGAACCUCUUUCGCUCAUGGUCAAGCCGCAACAAUGGUUGUGGUGAGGGUAGUGGGUAAAGAAGCGCCGGCUAACUACGUG
Molecule: ribosomal RNA, 483 nt
Filed under: uncultured bacterium
Lineage: Bacteria
Description: partial 16S ribosomal RNA
Rfam family: Bacterial small subunit ribosomal RNA
Source: RNAcentral